Long non-coding RNA from Scophthalmus maximus (turbot), 787 nucleotides. RefSeq lists it as uncharacterized. The transcript has 3 exons. Lineage: Eukaryota; Metazoa; Chordata; Actinopteri; Pleuronectiformes; Scophthalmidae. The record is from RefSeq and is a predicted model, not a curated record.
GUCCCAAAGGCACCUCUAGACUCUCGCCAGCUCUGCUUUCACACCAGAAGCAGAUCUGGCGGUUUGUUUGAAACCCGAAGCUGUUUCUUACGGGUUUGAAACGAAAGACAAAUUGUGGGAUCUUUCAGAUGGACCGCAGGUCGAUACUGCAAACGUUCGAGCCGCCGCAUGAUGUGUGGGAAAACAACGGAUAAGAAAAUUAGCAAAAGUAAACGUUGAACACGCUGGAAGGGCAGGAACGCCCGUAUUCAAAGUAUUGAUGUGCUUCUGCAAACCCUGAACACACGCACAACCAUUUGCAUUCAAACGUGUUUCGUUUGGUAGGAAGCACAAUGCUGCUCUGUUGUGUCAAGUGCUAACUGCCAUAUGUCCCAGCGGCGCUCGCCUCACAAGGAAGUCUUGACGAGUUCCUCCCCAGCCUGACUCCGACCAAUGAGAAGGAGCAGUGGUCUGUCUGUGUGUCGGUUUUCCAUGUGCUCUCACGUCGCCUAGCAACAGUGAAAGACCACGGAGAAGUAAAUGUAAACGUCAGUCUGCUGACGUCACCCUCAGAGGUCUCUGGAAAUUUUUUUACCAAACUCAUUUUAUCCACCUCCGGGACAGUCUGGCCCUCGGAGAGCAGGAGAAAUGUCAAGAGGUCCCACUCUGUUUACAUUUCCAGAGCCGACCACCCCCGAACAACGUUGAGUGUGUUCUCACUUAACUAGGAAUGAAAAGUAAACACAAUAUGAGUUUAAUUAUUGUUAAUUGAGUUGUACUCGCAUUGCGUUGAUGUCAUUGUGAUUUG